UGUGCCCUCCAGUGCUCACCACUGUGCUAUAGCUCCAAGUAGAGCAGCUGGGGAGUAACUGCUGAUGGUGAGCACAUAGCGGGAGGAUACAGUAGAUGACCCUUGGAGAUGCCAGGUACCAUUUGCAGAAUGCUGCAGAUGAUAUUUGGCAGGGCCUGUCCUGAAGCCCAGGUUGCUUGCCUGAGCAGGUUCUUAUGCCUU
RNAcentral lists this long non-coding RNA (201 nucleotides) under Homo sapiens (human). RNAcentral's name for it is "HSALNT0016281". Lineage: Eukaryota; Metazoa; Chordata; Mammalia; Primates; Hominidae. The record is from RNAcentral.